Non-coding RNA from Aedes aegypti (yellow fever mosquito), 72 nucleotides. The record is from Rfam. NCBI's taxonomy places the organism in Eukaryota, Metazoa, Arthropoda, Insecta, Diptera, Culicidae.
GGCUCGAUAACUUAGUUGGUGAAGCAUUCGUUUAGCAUACAAGAGUCGUGGGUUCGAAUCCCACCUGAGCAC